GCAUGAUUUUAUGCACUAUCCAUUGGGGCUACCAUAGUAGCCUUUGAACCACACGAGCCUAUGAUUCUUUCCCACUACUGGACUUUGAUGAAGAUCACCCACUGUCACUAACACCCUUACCUUUCUCCACCAUUGAAACACCCAACCCACCACACAUACGUGUUCAACAAAAUGCCCAGGUGACUAGAUGAAUAUUGAUGAAAUCGCACAAUCGCACAUAUGUGGCCUGGUUUUAAACUAGCUGUUGACUUGUAGUCUCCAUGCCAUUCCACUAUUGAGCCAUAGGUUAGAUGGAGAC
Molecule: long non-coding RNA, 298 nt
Filed under: Elaeis guineensis (African oil palm)
Lineage: Eukaryota; Viridiplantae; Streptophyta; Magnoliopsida; Arecales; Arecaceae
Description: long non-coding RNA (EGUI_LNC025738)
Source: RNAcentral